Molecule: long non-coding RNA, 631 nt
Organism: Nylanderia fulva
Lineage: Eukaryota; Metazoa; Arthropoda; Insecta; Hymenoptera; Formicidae
Source: RefSeq, a predicted model, not a curated record
AUUACAUAUACAAUCCAAAUAUUACUGAUAAAUUGUUCAAAAUGAAUAUAAUUUUGAGAACAGGAUUUAAAGGAAUUACUCAUUCAAUUGAUUUUCAUCCUCAAACUAUCGUAAAAGGGAAAAAUUAGCUAUAUCUCAUGUUCAAAGAGUAGAAGAAAAAUACAAAUGACACUGGUAUUUUGAUAACAGGUAGUGUCAUACGUCAAACUUGUGUCACUUUACACCCCUACAAAGUUAGUUUAGAGUUGGAUAACAAUCGUCAUGUGCUUCUUGUUUCUUGUAAUUGUGUGUCAAAUGCAGGAAAGAAAUGCAAACAUAUUUAUGCUUUAAUAUGGUAUGUAAACUCUGAUAGGAGUGCAACAAAAACAUCUAUACAUCAAGAAUGGGGAAAGCCUUCAGAUUAUCAACUUGGUAAAGAAAUGUACUCCAAGCCACUAAUAGUUUCCAGAGAAUUCAAGAAAAAGCUAUAUUACAAGAAUAAAGUAAUAAUUCCUUUUAAUCUUCAGAUAUCAGAUGUGAAAAGCGAUUGUGCGUUAUUAAGAAUUUUACAGGCAAGUAAUAUAACAGAAACUGAAAGUAUUGUAAAACAAAUUAUAAUAGUUAUUUUAGACAAUGUUAUAAAAAGUUUUAA